Molecule: ribosomal RNA, 468 nt
Filed under: uncultured bacterium
Lineage: Bacteria
Description: partial 16S ribosomal RNA
Rfam family: Bacterial small subunit ribosomal RNA
Source: RNAcentral
GAUGAACGCUGGCGGCGUGCCUAACACAUGCAAGUCGAGCGAUUCUCUUCGGAGAAGAGCGGCGGACGGGUGAGUAACGCGUGGGUAACCUGCCCUGUACACACGGAUAACAUACCGAAAGGUAUGCUAAUACGAGAUAAUAUACUUUUAUCGCAUGGUAGAAGUAUCAAAGCUUUUGCGGUACAGGAUGGACCCGCGUCUGAUUAGCUAGUUGGUAAGGUAACGGCUUACCAAGGCGACGAUCAGUAGCCGACCUGAGAGGGUGAUCGGCCACAUUGGAACUGAGACACGGUCCAAACUCCUACGGGAGGCAGCAGUGGGGAAUAUUGCACAAUGGGCGAAAGCCUGAUGCAGCAACGCCGCGUGAGCGAUGAAGGCCUUCGGGUCGUAAAGCUCUGUCCUCAAGGAAGACAAUGACGGUACUUGAGGAGGAAGCCCCGGCUAACUACGUGCCAGCCGCCGCUGUAA